UACAGAGGGUGCAAACGUUGCUCGGAAUUACUGGGCGUAAAGCGCGUGUAGGCUGACAUGCCAGUCGGGUGUGAAAUCCCAGGGCUCAACCUUGGAACUGCAUUCGAAACUGCACGUCUUGAGUACUGGAGAGGGAAGCGGAAUUCCGGGUGUAGAGGUGAAAUUCGUAGAUAUCCGGAGGAACACCAGUGGCGAAGGCGGCUUCCUGGACAGUAACUGACGCUGAGACGCGAAAGCGUGGGGAGCAAACAGG
Molecule: ribosomal RNA, 253 nt
Filed under: uncultured bacterium
Lineage: Bacteria
Description: partial 16S ribosomal RNA
Rfam family: Bacterial small subunit ribosomal RNA
Source: RNAcentral